Molecule: ribosomal RNA, 253 nt
Filed under: uncultured bacterium
Lineage: Bacteria
Description: partial 16S ribosomal RNA
Rfam family: Bacterial small subunit ribosomal RNA
Source: RNAcentral
UACGUAGGGGGCAAGCGUUGUCCGGAUUUAUUGGGCGUAAAGAGCGUGUAGGCGGCCAGGUAGGUCAGCUGUGAAAACUCGAGGCUCAACCUCGAGACGUCGGUUGAAACCACCUGGCUGGAGUCCGGGAGAGGAGAGUGGAAUUCCUGGUGUAGCGGUGAAAUGCGCAGAUAUCAGGAAGAACACCCGUGGCGAAGGCGGCUCUCUGGGACGGUACUGACGCUGAGACGCGAAAGCGUGGGGAGCGAACAGG